AUUGAACGCUGGCGGCGUGCCUAAUACAUGCAAGUCGAACGGAGUGACGCGCGGGUGGGUGAUGUAUAGCUAAUCUGCUCUACACUAGAGGGCAACAGUUGGAAGCGACUGCUAAUACUAUAUAGUGUAGGAUGAGGCUAUAUUGUAUCAGCUAGUUGGUGAGGUAAUGGCUGCCUAACGUGAUGACGCAUAACUGGUCUGAGAGGAUGAUGAGUAGAACUGGAAGGGAGGCACGGUCCAGACUCCUACGGGAGGGAGCAGUAGGGAAUAGUGCUCAAGGGGGGAAUCCCUGAAGCGGCAACGGGGUGUGGAGGACGACACGUGUGGGAGCGUAAACUCAGUUUGUUAGGGAAGCGGUACCUAACGAAUAAGCACCGGCUAACUCCGUGCCAGCAGCCGCGGUAAUUC
This 408-nucleotide ribosomal RNA is filed under the name uncultured bacterium. Its description in RNAcentral is "partial 16S ribosomal RNA". It matches the Rfam family "Bacterial small subunit ribosomal RNA", at positions 30 to 526 of the family's 1533-position model. The record is from RNAcentral.